AGCUGAAUGGUAGAGUGCAUGCUUAGCAUGCAUGAGGACCUGGGUUCAAUCCCCAG
This 56-nucleotide transfer RNA is filed under the name Camelus bactrianus (Bactrian camel). It matches the Rfam family "tRNA", at positions 9 to 63 of the family's 71-position model. Rfam says of the family: Transfer RNA (tRNA) molecules are approximately 80 nucleotides in length. Their secondary structure includes four short double-helical elements and three loops (D, anti-codon, and T loops). Lineage: Eukaryota; Metazoa; Chordata; Mammalia; Artiodactyla; Camelidae. RNAcentral also lists the same sequence under 2 other names. The record is from Rfam by way of RNAcentral.